GGAGGGAUGCCCGAGUGGCCAAAGGGAGCAGACUGUAAAUCUGCCGGCUUAUGCCUUCGGUGGUUCGAAUCCACCUUCCUCCA
Molecule: transfer RNA, 83 nt
Filed under: Kofleriaceae bacterium
Lineage: Bacteria; Pseudomonadati; Myxococcota; Haliangiales; Kofleriaceae
Description: tRNA-Tyr
Rfam family: tRNA
About the family: Transfer RNA (tRNA) molecules are approximately 80 nucleotides in length. Their secondary structure includes four short double-helical elements and three loops (D, anti-codon, and T loops). Further hydrogen bonds mediate the characteristic L-shaped molecular structure. tRNAs have two regions of fundamental functional importance: the anti-codon, which is responsible for specific mRNA codon recognition, and the 3' end, to which the tRNAs corresponding amino acid is attached (by aminoacyl-tRNA synthetases). tRNAs cope with the degeneracy of the genetic code in two manners: having more than one tRNA (with a specific anti-codon) for a particular amino acid; and 'wobble' base-pairing, i.e. permitting non-standard base-pairing at the 3rd anti-codon position.
Source: RNAcentral